Molecule: ribosomal RNA, 500 nt
Filed under: uncultured bacterium
Lineage: Bacteria
Description: partial 16S ribosomal RNA
Rfam family: Bacterial small subunit ribosomal RNA
Source: RNAcentral
AUUGAACGCUGGCGGCAUGCCUUACACAUGCAAGUCGAACGGCAGCACGGGAGCAAUCCUGGUGGCGAGUGGCGAACGGGUGAGUAAUAUAUCGGAACGUGCCCAGUCGUGGGGGAUAACGCAGCGAAAGCUGUGCUAAUACCGCAUACGAUCUACGGAUGAAAGCGGGGGAUCGCAGGACCUCGCGCGAUUGGAGCGGCCGAUAUCAGAUUAGCUAGUUGGUGGGGUAAGAGCCCACCAAGGCGACGAUCUGUAGCUGGUCUGAGAGGACGACCAGCCACACUGGAACUGAGACACGGUCCAGACUCCUACGGGAGGCAGCAGUGGGGAAUUUUGGACAAUGGGCGCAAGCCUGAUCCAGCAAUGCCGCGUGCAGGAUGAAGGCCUUCGGGUUGUAAACUGCUUUUGUACGGAACGAAACGGCUCUUUCUAAUAAAGAGGGCUAAUGACGGUACCGUAAGAAUAAGCACCGGCUAACUACGUGCCAGCCGCCGCCGUAA